UACGUAGGGUGCGAGCGUUGUCCGGAAUUACUGGGCGUAAAGGGCUCGUAGGUGGUUUGUCGCGUUGUUCGUGAAAACCGGGGGCUUAACCCUCGGCGUGCGGGCGAUACGGGCAGACUUGAGUACUGCAGGGGAGACUGGAAUUCCUGGUGUAGCGGUGGAAUGCGCAGAUAUCAGGAGGAACACCGGUGGCGAAGGCGGGUCUCUGGGCAGUAACUGACGCUGAGGAGCGAAAGCGUGGGGAGCGAACAGG
This 253-nucleotide ribosomal RNA is filed under the name uncultured bacterium. RNAcentral describes it as "partial 16S ribosomal RNA". It matches the Rfam family "Bacterial small subunit ribosomal RNA", at positions 524 to 776 of the family's 1533-position model. The record is from RNAcentral.